RNAcentral lists this ribosomal RNA (252 nucleotides) under uncultured bacterium. Its description in RNAcentral is "partial 16S ribosomal RNA". It matches the Rfam family "Bacterial small subunit ribosomal RNA", at positions 524 to 776 of the family's 1533-position model. The record is from RNAcentral.
UACGUAGGGUGCGAGCGUUGUCCGGAAUUAUUGGGCGUAAAGGGCUCGUAGGCGUUUGUCGCGUCGGGAGUGAAAACUCAGGGCUUAACCCUGAGCCUGCUUCCGAUACGGGCAGACUAGAGGUAUUCAGGGGAGAAUGGAAUUCCUGGUGUAGCGGUGAAAUGCGCAGAUAUCAGGAGGAACACCGGUGGCGAAGGCGGGUCUCUGGGCAGUAACUGACGCUGAGGAGCGAAAGCGUGGGGAGCGAACAGG